RNAcentral lists this ribosomal RNA (465 nucleotides) under uncultured bacterium. Its description in RNAcentral is "partial 16S ribosomal RNA". It matches the Rfam family "Bacterial small subunit ribosomal RNA", at positions 338 to 795 of the family's 1533-position model. The record is from RNAcentral.
CCUACGGGAGGCAGCAGUAGGGAAUCUUCCACAAUGGACGAAAGUCUGAUGGAGCAACGCCGCGUGAGUGAAGAAGGGUUUCGGCUCGUAAAGCACUGUUGGCAGUGAAGAAAGAUAGAGGUAGUAACUGGCCUUUAUUUGACGGUAAUUACUUAGAAAGUCACGGCUAACUACGUGCCAGCAGCCGCGGUAAUACGUAGGUGGCAAGCGUUGUCCGGAUUUAUUGGGCGUAAAGCGAGUGCAGGCGGUUCAAUAAGUCUGAUGUGAAAACCUUCGGCUCAACCGGGGAAUUGCAUCAGAAACUGUUGAACUUGAGUGCAGAAGAGGAGAGUAGAACUCCAGGUGUAGCGGUGGAAUGCGUAGAUAUAUGGAAGAACACCAGUGGCGAAGGCGGCUCCCUGGUCGGCAACUGACGCUGAGGCUCGAAAGCAUGGGUAGCGAACAGGAUUAGAUACCCUUGUAGUC